Molecule: ribosomal RNA, 232 nt
Filed under: Blautia faecis
Lineage: Bacteria; Bacillati; Bacillota; Clostridia; Lachnospirales; Lachnospiraceae
Description: partial 16S ribosomal RNA
Rfam family: Bacterial small subunit ribosomal RNA
Source: RNAcentral
UUUAUCAGAGAGUUUGAUCCUGGCUCAGGAUGAACGCUGGCGGCGUGCUUAACACAUGCAAGUCGAACGGGAAAUACUUUAUUGAAACUUCGGUCGAUUUAAUUUAUUUCUAGUGGCGGACGGGUGAGUAACGCGUGGGUAACCUGCCUUAUACUGGGGGAUAACAGCCAGAAAUGACUGCUAAUACCGCAUAAGCGCACAGAACCGCAUGGUUCGGUGUGAAAAACUCCGG